AUUGAACGCUGGCGGCAUGCCUUACACAUGCAAGUCGAACGGCAGCACGGGAGCAAUCCUGGUGGCGAGUGGCGAACGGGUGAGUAAUAUAUCGGAACGUGCCCAGUCGUGGGGAUAACGUAGCGAAAGCUACGCUAAUACCGCAUACGAUCUAUGGAUGAAAGCGGGGGAUCGCAAGACCUCGCGCGAUUGGAGCGGCCGAUAUCAGAUUAGGUAGUUGGUGAGGUAAAGGCUCACCAAGCCGACGAUCUGUAGCUGGUCUGAGAGGACGACCAGCCACACUGGGACUGAGACACGGCCCAGACUCCUACGGGAGGCAGCAGUGGGAAUUUUGGACAAUGGGCGCAAGCCUGAUCCAGCAAUGCCGCGUGCA
This 373-nucleotide ribosomal RNA is filed under the name uncultured bacterium. RNAcentral's name for it is "bacterial SSU rRNA". It matches the Rfam family "Bacterial small subunit ribosomal RNA", at positions 30 to 405 of the family's 1533-position model. The record is from RNAcentral.